UUUAGAAUUCGUAGGCGUCAAAAAAAAGUUUAUAAACAGAGCGUGAAUCCUCUGGACCUGAAAGAAGAAUAAUUCCGGUCGUAGUUUUGGAAAGCAUAUACGAUCUGAUGGGAAGCAUAUAUACGAUCUGAGUCACAUACGAACGAGGAAUAAUUACUAUAACUGUCGAGCGUUGCUUCGGGGUGUGGAAGCAAAGAUUCCGCAUUCUCAAUGAUACGAUGUGAGGAUUCUUCCACGUGAUCAAGAUCACGAUUAUUGCUGGUGCAGUUUUGCACAAUUUAACAAUACUAAUUAAUGAGUAUAUUUUAAAUCAAGAUCCUACAGGCAUUGAAAAUCAAUUAACAAAUCCCUGUCCUACUAACUGUCCCUAAUAAUGUAGAAGAAUAAGAAGAUGAAUGCGAAAAUCAAGGGAAAAUUUAAACACAGUCAUAUUGAAAGUUAUUUUUAUAAUUAAAUGAAUAUUUUCA
Molecule: long non-coding RNA, 467 nt
Organism: Colias croceus (clouded yellow)
Lineage: Eukaryota; Metazoa; Arthropoda; Insecta; Lepidoptera; Pieridae
Exons: 2
Source: RefSeq, a predicted model, not a curated record